UACGAAGGGGGCUAGCGUUGUUCGGAAUUACUGGGCGUAAAGCGCGCGCAGGCGGUUCUUCAAGUCAGAGGUGAAAGCCCAGAGCUCAACUCUGGAAUAGCCUUUGAGACUAGAGAACUAGGGUACGGGAGAGGUGAGUGGAAUUCCGAGUGUAGAGGUGAAAUUCGUAGAUAUUCGGAAGAACACCAGUGGCGAAGGCGGCUCACUGGCCCGUUACCGACGCUCAGGCGCGACAGCGUGGGGAGCAAACAGG
Molecule: ribosomal RNA, 253 nt
Filed under: uncultured bacterium
Lineage: Bacteria
Description: partial 16S ribosomal RNA
Rfam family: Bacterial small subunit ribosomal RNA
Source: RNAcentral